UGUAGCCACGGAUGGGAAAAACACAAAGAGGGCAAGAUCAGCACAAAAAGAUAAAUAUCAUAGAAGUAUCUGAAAAAAAAGAGAUUUAGUUGCCUAAAAAGUUGUGGUAGCAGCGGAUUGAAUCCAGGACCACUUGCUGUAGGAUCAGUAUCUUGGCCUUUCCUAUAACAGAUAGGGAAAGAAUGCAGUAUCAGCACAAAAGGUGCGUAUCAUAAUAGUAUCUAAAAAUGAGAUUUGGUUGCUUAAGAAAAGUUGAGCUAGCAGCGUAUCAAACCCAUGUCCACUUCCUUUAGGAUCAGUGUCUUCCUGUAGGAUUUGCUCUUGUUUUUACUAUUUGAACCAGUCUGUUCUGUUCAUGAUGGUCUCAAUCAAGCCUGAGUUGAAGAUGAACACCAUAGGCUUGGAACCUGUUGAGACUCUAGGGAAUGUUAUAUCAAACACUAUUAAUUCAUUUUAUGUAGGGUAAUUCAGCAAUAAUUAUUUAUUUCUUUGCUUUAUUGAUAUACUGAUAUGUACUUAGGAUGUCACUUUACUGAAAUAGUUAUCCUUGUGAAAUUAUUAUUAUUUAGCAAUAAUUAUUUAUCUCUUUGCUUUAUUGAUAUACUGAUAUGUACU
This 615-nucleotide long non-coding RNA is filed under the name Brachypodium distachyon (stiff brome). Its description in RNAcentral is "long non-coding RNA (BDIS_LNC003623)". Lineage: Eukaryota; Viridiplantae; Streptophyta; Magnoliopsida; Poales; Poaceae. The record is from RNAcentral.